Molecule: long non-coding RNA, 242 nt
Filed under: Mytilus galloprovincialis (Mediterranean mussel)
Lineage: Eukaryota; Metazoa; Mollusca; Bivalvia; Mytilida; Mytilidae
Source: RNAcentral
UCACGGUACUUAUCUAUCCCAAAUUCAUGUAUUUGGUUUUGAUGUUAUAUUUGUUAUUCCCAUAGGAUUUUGUCUAAUGCUUAAUCCGUUUCUGUGUGUGUUACAUUUUAAUGUUGUGUCGGUGUUCUCCUCUUAUAUUUGAUGCGUUUCCCUCAGUUUUAGUUUGUUACCCCGAUUUUGUUUUUUGUCCAUGGAUUUAUGAGUUUUGAACAGCGGUAUACUACUGUUGCCUUUAUUUAUCA